RNAcentral lists this ribosomal RNA (497 nucleotides) under uncultured bacterium. Its description in RNAcentral is "partial 16S ribosomal RNA". It matches the Rfam family "Bacterial small subunit ribosomal RNA", at positions 28 to 507 of the family's 1533-position model. The record is from RNAcentral.
GAUGAACGCUGGCGGCGUGCCUAAUACAUGCAAGUCGAGCGAACAGACGAGGAGCUUGCUCCUCUGACGUUAGCGGCGGACGGGUGAGUAUCACGUGGAUAACCUACCUAUAAGACUGGGAUAACUUCGGGAAACCGGAGCUAAUACCGGAUAACAUGUUGAACCGCAUGGUUCAACAGUGAAAGACGGUCUUGCUGUCACUUAUAGAUGGAUCCGCGCCGCAUUAGCUAGUUGGUAAGGUAACGGCUUACCAAGGCAACGAUGCGUAGCCGACCUGAGAGGGUGAUCGGCCACACUGGAACUGAGACACGGUCCAGACUCCUACGGGAGGCAGCAGUAGGGAAUCUUCCGCAAUGGGCGAAAGCCUGACGGAGCAACGCCGCGUGAGUGAAGAAGGUCUUCGGAUCGUAAAACUCUGUUAUUAGGGAAGAACAAAUGUGUAAGUAACUAUGCACGUCUUGACGGUACCUAAUCAGAAAGCCACGGCUAACUACGUG